CACAUAUGUACAUACAUGUAUGGACUGACAUACAUACAUAUAGGAAUCUUCUCCCUCCUUAUAUAUGUAUGAAGAGAGAAUGCAUACACACACACACACACACACACACACGCAUAUAAUGGGAUUACGCUGUAGCUUUUCGUUUUUACUUAAUAUAACAUAGACAUAAUUUCUGAUCAGUAAAUGUCUAUUAGAAGUCCACAAUCUGGAGGCCAAAAGCCAAAUUUAGUGCAUAUGGAUGGAAAUUGUUUGGCAUUGUUUUAAAGACUUAAAUUUAAACUCCUUAAGAAGGGGCAUAGAUCUUCCAAUUCCUGACUGGCCCUGAAGGCAUUUGAAGUUGUCAUCCUGCGUUUUAUAUCAUUGUUUACAAUUAUUCUUAUCCCACCAUAUCAGUAUUUUUCAGUAGGGAAAUUUUGGCCAUUUUGAGCCAGAUAAUUCUCUGUUGUGUGGGAUUAUUUUGUACAUUGCAGGACAUUUAGCAUCCCUGAUGCCCACCAGCUCAAUGCCAGCAGUGUCCUCAGGCCUAUGUGAUAACCAAAUCUGACCCCAUGCAUGUCCACACUGGGGCAUCUGUUCUUGUCUUGGGCUAAUGAUGAAAUUAUCACAGGCUCUCCUCCAUAAAUACGUUUAAGUAUGAUGACCUUAAGUCCUAGGAUACCUGGGACAGUCCUGUGGUUCAGGUGUAUUUAUUAAUACCCCUUAGUCAUUUAAUUAAUAUUAAUUAAUUAAUAGCCGUUAGUGACCCUUGUCACUCUCAGAAGUAUCCCUAUUUGGAUGAUAAACCAGUGGGUCGCCCUGAGUAUAAGGCCCUGCUUCAGAAAUGGUUAGAUUUGUCAGGUUCUGCCCAGGAAAGACUAAAUGUGCCAUUGGUGCUAAGCAUGUCUUCCCAGAGUUAAUCUAUAUGUCAUGUGGUAAAUGCCUUCCACUGAGGAUGCUAUGAUCAGAUCCUACUUCCAACUCCAGAGCUGAACAUCGGGGUAGUCAGUGACACAGGCACAUUUUUUAAAAGGUGGGCAGGAAUUGGCUUAAGGCCAGAGCUAGGCUGAAGAAAGAGGAUGUCUGAUGACCCCUUGGAUUCAAGAAGACCUGUAGCAUAUCAUGUAUGGUCUAGAGAGGCCUGCUUAGGCUCCAUGCUUUACAGAUUAAGAAACUGAGGACCAGAGAAAGGAAGGGAAAUAGAACCUCAGGGUAUGAAAGGCUUAAGAGUCUUCUUGCCCUCCCCAACUUGGAAGCUUUCAUUUCCACUGAGCAUAUUCACAGGUGGAGGGUCAGCCUCCAUCAGAACUGCGAGCCAUGGGUCAUAGAUAGCGCACAAGCCACAGGCAGAGGCAGAACCCAGGGAUCCCCAGUUUUGGAUCACAGCACUUCACUUUGUUCUAUUCUGUAUCUCCUUAGAUUUCCUCCCAAGAUACUUAAACCUCCACUCUUCCAUAUACAUCUAAAAGAUGAAACCGAUUUAGAAGUACCAGAUGUAUCUGAGAGAGGAUUCCUAGAGAAUAUAGGAGCUGCACACUCAACAGUCGUGGGCUGGUUUGAGAAGUGGAUUCCAUUGUAUUUGACCCUGGGUACUUUUUCGUUAUCUCCCUAAUACUUCAUUCACUCUAAGCCUGGAUGAACUUUUAUCAGGAAUGCCUGAGUGGCAGCUGGUUAUCUGGGAUGUGGAAGAGGAUUCACCUUGAACUUUGUAACUUCAGAAGAGUCGGGGUCUCAGCAUGAAAGGUGGCUUGGCUUGACCUGGCUGCAGACCUCGCUUCUGCAUGAUGCUGUUUCCAGAUGGACCUUUAAGUGUUCCGAGCAGGCCCCAUGCAGGAAAUAUGUCCUGCAUUGAAUGUCAAGCUUCUUGCUAUUAUUUAUUCUUACUUUUGGCUUUUUAUGGGAUUGGUGCUCCUUUAAAGAGACCUGUUAGCAUUCCUUGUGAGAUGCUCUGUUUAUUAACAAAUGAUUUGCUCUGUGUUGGCUAUAAUGAAUCACUGGCAUUACAACAAUCUGAAAGACCACAGAGUUCUACAAGUGGUACCUUUUCUUCCAUCAAGUUUCUUGAACAUCCUUUCUGAACCUGCUCAUCUAAUCUCACCUUGGAUUCAAGUUCUCCACUAGGAGUAGUGUAUUGCUCCUGGAUUUUAAAAAUUAAAAUGAUUCUGAACAGACAGGGCAGGAAAUACUUUGGGAAUCAAUGCAAGUUAAUAUACAAUAUUAAUCUAAAUAAUACUAUUAUUUUGGGGGCACUAUGUGCUAGAUCUGUGUUAAGCACUUCCAUGAACUACCUCAUUAAAUCCUCAUAACUCCAUUGUGAUAUUAUUAAUUCCCUCAUUUUACAGAAUGCUAACUUGAGGUUCAGAGAAGUUGAAUAGCUUGCUCAACAGUACACAGCUACUAAAUUAUAAGAUUCAAAUUUAGCUCAGUCUGAUGCAGGGCCUGAUCUUAACUAUAGCAUUAUACCAGCUCAGAGGACUCAGAGGGGAGAAUACUCCAUUACCCACUCUCUCUGAGGCGUAUAAGCUCCCAGUGCCUCUGCUUACCAGGGAUACAGUGUGGGGUCACAUAGAGAGCCCUGGCCCUAAAGUCAGAAGAUCUGAAUUUGAGUGGCAACACCUGCCCUUGCCUUUAUUAACUUUAUUGUGAAGGUUGAAUGCUACAAUGUAAAUGACUAAGGUCUUUACAUACAAUUGUAGGUUGUGAUGGCAUGUAUAAAAGAUGAGUCUUCUGUGUAUAGUUAUACCUGUUUCUACCUGUAUGUAUAUAGCCCAAUUAUAUCCAAUGAUGAUAGGCUUGUAUCAGGUUGCUCACAGUUGGAAAAGCCAUUCUUGGGACUAGGAUUUCAAACUGGAAGGGAACUAAGAAGUCAUCUGUACAUUACAAGUGAGGAAAAUGAGGCUUGGUAAGAGAUUUCUUUGUACUUUUCCCAGGACUAGCAGAAUGACAUUGAGAUUUGGAGACCAAUGACUCAGGAGUAGGCAGGGACUGAAAGAGCCAUAACAUUUACAUGCAAUAUUGAAAAGCCUGGGUCAUCUAGUGGGAUGAACCCAGUCUAGUUGGAAGAAGAGCAGCCUGAAGCCAGAGAGAUGGUUAAGAUUGCUGUGGAGAGUAGGAAGAGAAGGUUCCAAGUGGAUGGACAGUGCUGCCUGUAAGGGAGGGUAUUCUGAAAGCUUCACCACGUGAGACAACCUGAUGCUGUUUCUUCCUCCCAUGUCUUUAGGUCCCAUGUGCAAUAUGCAGUGUUCAUGGCUUCCUACCUGGAGAAAGUUAAGUUUUAUUGUGUUCAAGGAGGUUGAGAGUAUAUAUUUGAUGUCCCAAGAUUGAGGAAGUGGUCCAGCAGGAAGACUGCAUUGAGUUACCAACUUGGGUGAAAAAGAUCAAGGUGAAGAUUUUAUUCCACAAAGUAUAAGGGGCCAGUAGGUCUUUACAGAAGUAAGUAACUUGAGCAAAAUUCCAUACUAAUUCCACCCAUGAUGCCUUCAGACUUCACAUCUACCAAUUCUUUUUUCAGAGGUCCAGUUGACCCCACACUCAUAUUUUCUAGUCUUCCUGAAAAUGCCUGGUUCUGAUCCAAACUAGAUGAGAGGGUACAGACAAAUAAUCCAAGCCCACAGCUGACAAAACAACCCACAGCACACGUCCUGUGUCCAGAUGGGGACUGAAGGUCAACUGUGUCAUCUGUCUUUAUGAAAGACAGCAUGUUAUUAUACUGAUUACAGUGUACUGGGCUUUGCUGGGGACUAAAAAUAGAUAAAUGUGGCUUCUAGAGACAGGCACUAACAUUCCUUUGGCUUCCUUUACUAUGUGCUUUUUUAGAGAAAUCUUUGCCUUGAUUAGAAAAGAAAAAAAAAAAAGACUGCCAAAAGCUGUGCUGCCUUAGGCAUUUUUCGAAGGGCAAUUUGCACCUGACCAGUGCUGCUGUCAUCUUUGACAUGUCCCUGGUGCUGCUCCCCAUCAUCAUGUUUGUGUGUGUUUGCAAAAGGAACAAAACAGGCAGCCCCACUCUGCAUUCCUUUAUUCCAGCUUUUCCAUUUCUGGGCUCUUCAUAUCUCUUAAUGAAGAAUUGCACACCACAGCCCAGCCUGGGUGAGCCCAAGAGAUCUUUUCCCUGUAGAAGAUAUUGGAGAGAGGUUUGGGCUGACUCUGCAACAGGAUGAGAGAAGGAAUUAGCAUUUAUUGAGUUCCCGCUGUGUGGUCCCCUGUGUCAGAUGGUUUUGCUGAUCACUGCAGAAACUCUGGAAGGCAAAUGAAUUGGAGGCUCUGGAUAAAGAAGCAAAUGAUGGAGCUAGAAUCUGGGCCCAAGUCUGUUCAUUUCAAGCCCAUGUCCUUCCUGUGUUGUAUCGGGAUACAAUUAAUCUAGAGCAGGAAGUAUAAACUUCUUUGUGCCCUUCUUGUCCAUGUAACAUCUCUUGGGAGCUAUAGUGGAGGUAAAAUGAAAAGGUAGAAAACAUUCUUAUUACUUCUGUUCUCAGGCAGGCAUAAUAAAUUUAUAUUCACAAAAUCAAAUGCCUUUGAUGGUCUCGUGGGAUAUGUAAAUGUGAGUGAUGCGGUGAAUAGGAAGUUGGGGAGAGGGGUGCUCUAAUGGAACCAGGCCCCAUAGACAUGCUCCAUUGAAAGGCAUCAAUAUUCAUCCUUUAAAAAUCGUUGUUGGUCAAACCAAUCAUUCCUGUGAACCAAUCAGGAUCAAGGGCUGUCAUUUAGGAACUCCUGACCCACGUGUCCUUCUAGGUGUUGAUGACUGUAUCUUGCCAGGUGCCAGUGUAUCCUGCUUAGAGUCUCCUAGGUGUUGAUGCUUGAUUUGAUUUCUUCAUUUACUAAAAAGGAGAAUAUAUUACCUAUACAAGUUAAAAGUGUACACACAUACACACAUAUACAUUCACCCUGAGCAGUAGGGGUAUAAGUGGUGCUACAUUAUUCUUUCCACUUUACUUGCAAAUUUCUUUUACAUAUUAAAAGAAAAUGCAGCAUGUAAGGGCUGAAAGCAUCUUUAGUGUCUUAGUCCACCUCAUACAUGUUAUAGAUGAAGAAACUGAGUCCAGAGAGAAAAGGAGCUUUCCUAGUUUCACAGAGCUAACUAGGAGGAGGGCUGGUAUUGGAGGACCUGACUCCCAGGCCAACAGUUCUUUCACUACAUAUCCAUCCAUGCACAAGUGUGUGGGCCAGAGAUGGGUCAAAGUAUUAUGUAUAGAAAUACUUGCAGCAGCAGUUACACUGCCUUAAGGUCAGGUUUAGGCAAUGUGACUCUGUUCGGCAAUCAUAAGAGGACUGGUCAGAAUUUACCUGCAAGGCCUCCUGGCUGAGUGUCUUUGUAUGAAGACAUGAAGAUGUGAGCCUGGUAUUUUAACCCAACCUACACUCAACCUGGGCUAUAUACCUGUCAUGAGAGUCUAGGUGGGAGAUGUCCCAAGAAGGAUGCUCUUGGUCUGAGCAUGGAGCAGUGAAGUCCUCUCUGAAUGGAGCAAGAGGCUCUGAGUGAAUAAGUGAAGGGAGAAUUUACUUUAAAACAAAUAAAAACACUCAACUUCUUUGGGCUGAAGUUUGUUCUAGGUCUAGAUGAAAGGUGCUUUGCAUUCCUUAGGGAAAGAAGCAGAAUAUUAGAGGUGGAAGGAAUUCUGAAGGAGAACCAGUCAAAUUUUUCAUUACCAAUGGGGAAACAGAUACAGCAUGAUCACUCUUAGGGUGUGGGAGCCCUGCACAAAUAUUUUUUGCAGGGCCCCUGUCUAUGUAGACCAUUAGAUGAUACAUUUAUUAGAAAAUUCAAAGGUCCAUCUAAGGCAUAGUGAUUUAUCAGUAAAGAUUUAGAAUAAUGUGUAGAGAAGAGGUACUUACGCAUUUGUUUAUUGUCCUAUCAGUGCACGUGAAGUUUGUGGUAUCCGUGCACUGUCUCCCCCUUUGUAGGUCUAGGAAGCAUCCCUUCGUGUUUUUUAUUGUGAAAUUCACCAUUCCUGGUUAAUUUCAUAUCUCCCACUGUGAGAAACAGGUAACAACACUCAUAAUACCAUGGGUCUUCGGAAUCUCUUUGUACUGAAACAAAAUAGAUUUUUCUUGCCUCUGCACUUCCCUAAUGCCAUGUAUUUAAUGCUGGCUUUAUCAUUACUCAUGACACUGCAUCAUGUACUAUGCCGCUUGUGAAUAAUGGUUUCCAGUGACUCUCUCAAAGAUUGCUACUGUGCAUCACUGAUGAUGACUGCUAUAUCAGUCAGGGCCAACCAGAGACAUAGAACCAGUAGGAUAUGUAUAUAUAUUAAGAGAUUUGUUGCAAAUAAUUGGCUUAUGUGAUUGUGGAGGCUGGCUAUGGCUAGGCAAGUCUUAAAUCCACAGGGGAGGCUGCCAGGAAGGGCAGCCUGGAACUUCUGGACAUGAGCUAAAGCUGCUGUCCACAGGCAGAAUUUCCUCUUCUUCAGUAAAGCCUCAGCUCUGUUCUUUGGCCUUUUAAUUGAUUGGAUGAGGCCCACCCAGACUAUCAAGGCUAAUCUCCUUUACAUAAAGUCAACUGCCUGUAGAUGCUAAGCAUGUCCGCAAUGCCUAGAUUUGUGUUUGAUGGAAUAACUGAGGUAGGUCUAUAGCCUAAUUGAGUUGGCACAUAAAACUAACCAUCACAACUACAAGUGCAAGUCUUAUCCAGAGUAUGCUGGAAACUAUGAAUGAGACUCCAUGUUCUGGUCAUGUUAAAUUUACUGUUUAGAAUUUUGUAGUACAACAUGCAACAUGUCUUCCAACCCUGUCUUCUCUUGAACUCUCUAGGCUAUAAUCAAUAUAUUCCUAAACUGUGAUUGCUUUGAAUGUUGACUGCACCCUUUCCUUUCACACCAGUAGAUAGGCUCAGGCCCAAGUAUGGUGGAUUAAGACUGACCUGAGAGAACACGAUAUCAGCACAUCCAUUGAUGGGAAGGAAGGACGUUGACCCAAUAGGCCAUUGGCUUUGUGGAACAACAGUCUUGAAAACCCUUGGAGAAGAUAGGUGCAGCCAACUCUGGAGGACUGCCUGAAAGGGAGCAGAGCCUGUAGAGGAGGCAUGUUCCAUUGUGAGUGCUGUGGCUUGUGUUUCACAUCGUGUGACAACCUGUGGCCCUGCAUCUCCCAGACACAGUGCCAG
This 7072-nucleotide long non-coding RNA is filed under the name Homo sapiens (human). RNAcentral describes it as "HSALNT0053408". The record is from RNAcentral. Lineage: Eukaryota; Metazoa; Chordata; Mammalia; Primates; Hominidae.